Molecule: long non-coding RNA, 533 nt
Organism: Mauremys reevesii (Reeves's turtle)
Lineage: Eukaryota; Metazoa; Chordata; Testudines; Geoemydidae
Exons: 2
Source: RefSeq, a predicted model, not a curated record
GCUUGAGGAGGGAGGACUGGUGACCUUGCAGGAGGAAGAAGGAGGCCAGCACCUUGGCCAGAGCAGUGCUGGGCAGGAUCAGGGGAGUGAGAGCCAUCUCCUGGCUGGCUGCUAAGACUGGCAUAGAGAGGCCUGGAGAUAAGAGCAGAGAAGGUGCUAGGGCUGCGGGGAAGUGGCCCUGGAAAGUAGACUGAAAGGUUGGAGGGGACACAGAGCAUGGCUGCCAUCCACAGGGUGCCUGGGCUGGGAUCUGGAGUAGUGCGUGGGCCUGGGUCCCCUCCCCGCCUCCAAGGUCUUUAGAGCAACACAGGUCCAGAAGCACAAGUGAUGGCGGGCGAGACACCACCGAGAGCCAGCGUACCGACCUGUGGAGCUGACCCAUAAGAUGACCAGCAGGAGGCGCUAACAUGGAAGCUUCCAAACCUGUUCUGAUGGACCAGAAAUUCGACUCCCUGGCCCUGCAAGAUAUCUCACCACCAUGGUUAAAAACCCUGGAUGUGUGCCACAGAGAUGAGAGGCUCUGUUUCUAGAUA